RNAcentral lists this transfer RNA (93 nucleotides) under Streptomyces fructofermentans. Its description in RNAcentral is "tRNA-Arg". Lineage: Bacteria; Bacillati; Actinomycetota; Actinomycetes; Kitasatosporales; Streptomycetaceae. The record is from RNAcentral.
CCAGCAGCGGGUGGGCCGGAUCAAGAACCUCACGACGGUGCUGGGAGCGGUGUACCUCCCGCUCUGCUCACUGAUCGUGUUCAUGCUGCUGGC